Molecule: transfer-messenger RNA, 191 nt
Filed under: Cellvibrionales bacterium TMED21
Lineage: Bacteria; Pseudomonadati; Pseudomonadota; Gammaproteobacteria; Cellvibrionales
Also listed under: 1 other name
Description: partial transfer-messenger RNA
Rfam family: transfer-messenger RNA
About the family: Bacterial tmRNA, also known as 10Sa RNA or SsrA, is named for its dual tRNA and mRNA-like properties. Its role is to liberate the mRNA from a stalled ribosome. To accomplish this part of the tmRNA is used as a reading frame that ends in a translation stop signal.
Source: RNAcentral
GGGGGCGUUACGGAUUCGACGACGGUAACGAAACCUGCGGUGCAUGCCGUGAUGGCAGCCAAUCACGUUAAUCCAAAGCUGUGAACUAAUAGUUGCCAACGACGACAACUACGCACUAGCGGCUUAAACCCUGCUAGCGGUCUAUCCCAAGAUGCCAGUAUCGAGGGUGUGACUGUCACUUAGAACUGGAC